GGGCUUGCUUCGGAAUCACUGUGAGAAUUGGUUGAAAGGCUUUAGCAUGAACCCGGGGCACGCUUCUAUCCCGGUGGCAGAGCUUACCGCACUCCGUCAAGGGCUACAAUUAGCCCUUUCAGGAAACUGUGCGCACAAAUGAGUGAGGUUCGACCCACACACAUUUACAAGGAGACAAAUGGAUGAGUUGAUGUUCUAGCAAAGAUGGGGAGAGAUCAAAAUGCAAGUUUAGUAAUUUUUGACUUAGCACCUAUUUUACUUUCUCAGAUGUUGUUUUUAAAUGUAAAUGGAACUUAUUUCCUAUGUA
Non-coding RNA from Punica granatum (pomegranate), 307 nucleotides. NCBI's taxonomy places the organism in Eukaryota, Viridiplantae, Streptophyta, Magnoliopsida, Myrtales, Lythraceae. The record is from RefSeq and is a predicted model, not a curated record.